GCAUUUUUCAGACUAACUUAAAUGCAAAAUUGAUUUUUUUAGACUAGGAUAAAAAGGAACUACUGAAAAGAUCCCAGAACACUGACAAACACUUGGAAAUCCAGGGGAAAAAAUCUUGGGUCAUCUUAUAAAAUGGAUUAUACGAACUGUCUGCAUGUGAUGCAGAUGUCAGCAACAAGCAAAACAUUCUCCAAAAAACCAGGCUAUACAUAUUUUCCUCUCUGGGAAAAUCCUGUGUCUUUCUGCAUUUAGGGAAGCAAAGAGAGAGGGGGUUGGAGAGCUAUGUUUUAUCCAUGAGCAUAAACAUCAGGCUGAUUUUGAGAAGUGAGCCAAACCAAAAAUAGCACAGAAUAUUGUUACACUAUUUUAAAAAAAUAGUAUAUAUUUUCCCUUCUAAAUCUGGCAUCCUGAAUACCUCAUUUUAAACAAGCCAGAGAUUGCAAGUUUGAAUCUGUUUGGAUAGAGGAGAAUUUAUAUAAAUGUUUUGUUCAAGCCCAAAAAGGAAGAGGAGUUUAAAUAUACAGUGUAUGAAAGAUGCAUGUACAACUUCAAAACAGCUUAGUGCAAAGAAGGGCAAAAUAGAGCCGAACCCUGUUACUCAUUCCCAGCAGUCUCCAAGGGUAAAUAUCUCACAAUUUGCAACAUUGUUUCAGUGACCCAAACAGUAAGAGAUUAACCAAAAUUUCAUAACUGUCCCUUUCUCCCUUCUGUUUCCUGGAGGAAGAGGGGGGUUGGAAAGGAGGUCAAAGAACAAAUGGAAACAAAAACUGCAUUUUACAUCCUUUUUCUGCACUUAAGAGAAAAAAAGGAGAGAGAUAAAUACUGAACCAAAUCUCUUUAAUUCCAGGCAGCUUUUAUCAUUCAGUCACUGAGUCUGUGUGUGGAAAAAUUCAUGCUAAUUCCCCCUAGCAACAAGCUCAGCCUAUCAGGAGACUCCAUGCGCCAUGCAGCUGCCAGGGAGCGAGAAUAACUCUAAGUAGGUCAGGCCUGUAUUUCUAAAAAUGCUACGGUCUAGUAACCCCACUGUCCCGUCUGUCUGCCCUGCCCCAUAAUAACCUCAAUUGCUUGGUGACACAAUGACAUACUACCCUGUUAGAGUGCAAUCAAAUCAUGCUGCAUUAUUCUGGCGCGAGCAUCACUGCAGGAUGAAGGACCCUUUGAGGGACAGCAUUAAUCAGGCAGCCAUUCACGUCCACUAGCACUUCACUCUGGAAAUGGGUCCUGCAUUAAUGACCAGCUGUUUGAACUAACACAAACAAAAUAAUGUCUUCCACCCUGUUGGGUGCACAGAAUACACUAUUCUGAUCCAGCAGGUUAUGCUUAUUGACUAAAUCUAAGAGGUAAAUUAAACAGGCUCAGAUAAUGUCAGCUUCUGGAAUCUCAAAGUAAGUAUAUUUAAAUUAUUUUACAUGCAAUGAUUUAAUACACACAAUCUUCUUUGCCUAUAAUUUUCCUCAACCAUAUGUAUUUUUAAAUGCAUGCACAGGUAACAUAAAUAUGUAGAUAUCACUUUUUUAAAAGUCCCAAUGUAAAUAGCUGAACUGACUUCUCCAUGGGCAUGGAAACAAAACAGAUUGGGAGCAAUUGGGCAGCAUGAACACAAACAAAUACAAAAUGGGAGUCAACAUUCUAAACCUACAGACCAAUCAGGAAGCACCUCCCACCAUCUCUAUGCAGGGGCUAGUCACAGUCUUACCCUCAUCUCCAAACACUGGAAGGGAAAAGAGGAAGAAAUGAAUAUGGUCUUUAAAAACUCAGAAUUUGUGCACAAUAUUGUGUAGUAUUCUAGAAAUAAGAAGAUCAUCUUCCUACUACAAUACUCUGUUUCAAUGACUCAAAACACCUCUUCCAUAUUGGCAACUAGGUAUGUGGAGGAAUGAAUAUAGUUUAUCAUUCAUUUUCAGAGAUGUUCAUGCAUUUGAUUGAACCACGAAAAAACAUUUUCUUGGAUGGUUAGUCUGCAUUUUUUAAAGGGCUUUACAGUUUCAUUUAAUGAAUAUGUGCCCUCUAACAAGCUGAUAAUUCAGCCUUCAAUUAUGCAGAAUUCAGCAAGUCUUAAACAUGUAAUCCAUUCAUAUUUGAUUUAUGAACACAGCAGAUUCAUUAAUCCAUUUGCCCUUGUUUGAACUGGGCUUGAUAACUUAGUUAUGAAUAUCUCUACUUUAUAGCACCGAUCACAGUUAUUCUUGGAGACAGUCACUGACGUAACCAUGAGUUGCUAAUUACAAGUCGCUGACAAUUCUCCUUGUCUGUGUUGCUUUGAAGUUCUAACUCUGCUUCUAUCCUACAUGCUUGCUUAGGGUUCAUGCUAUAUCCCCCUCUCCUCUCUUCCUCUCUUCUAUUUCAAUCUCUCUAGUCAUAGCUUUGGAUAUAGGUACAAAAGUGAUCUGAUUUCAACAACUUCCUUCCCAACCAGUCUCUCUGCACACAAAUCUAUAGUUGGGGAAUAUAGUAAUAAUAUUUUUACCCUUUCCCCCUACUCCAUACAGGAAUGUUACCCAGCAGCUGGCUAAAUAUAUUCCAGAACACAGUACUGCCUUUGUAGAAGUAGGAACAAAUAAUAGAAGGGUCAGAUAGACAUCCUGUAGGACAUUGCCAUGACUAUUGGACCAAUGCUUCAACUUGAAUCAGCGGCUGACUUGACUGGUUUGAGGUAACAGUUACAGCUAAGCUCUUUUCAUCCUCAAGGUCUAAAUGGACUUGAGGCUCAGUAGACAACUGUGUUUAUGGUCCCUGACAGUCAAUAUGAGAUUUGCUCACCACUUGGACAAGGCCAACUCAAACAAGACACAAGUUUUCUCCAUAUUGACUAUGUCCGUAUUAUGACAAAUCCUAUUAACGUUAAAAUGGCAAUCUCACAAUCACAUCCAAAAAUAAAAGAUUACAUAUAUAUAUUCUAUAUAAUUAUUUAUCUCCAUAGACAGUUGUAGAUAUAUCUAUCUCCAUAAAUAAUUAUUGAAACAGAUGUAUACAGAUCCUUUAUCUGACCAUUUGCUGCAAAUGUCAGCACCACCUCUUUUCUUGGACAGGGAUUUUUUUUUAAUUAUUGGCUGAUUUUGGAAUUCUUUUUAAAAAUGUAAACCUAGCACUGGGUUCAGCUCAGUUGAGCAUUUGGCCAUCUGAAGCCUGUGGCAGUCAGCUGGUCCCAGAGUCAUCUGGGAUACAUUUAUUUUGAUUAGAUUGAUCAGAUUUCUAUUUACAGUAUAGAAUUUUUCACCAUACUGGAUACAGCUGUGUUUACAGAGAUUUUUAGGAAGAAGAAAACAAAACCCCACAAUUGGUCUCAGCACAGCACUGAGGAGACAGAGCUUCAAGGAGUUAAAUCAGAGGGAGAUGCUUUCACAUUAACAAGAAAAUUCUGCAUGCGAUGGCUGCAACCAAGCGCUCACUACUCAGGAAAUGGGUGUCGAACUGGAGCUGAAAAUAUAAGCUGCAAUCAAGCCUGAUCCAGCAAAGUGACAAACUUUCUGUGUAAAAUGGUCAGAAAUCUCGUUUUCAUGUCUACACAUGCAUGCACAUGCAUCUAACUCUAUACUGCAGAGCUGUUGUUUUCUCUGGGGACACUGGUGCAGCCACCUAGCUCAUCAGUUUCUUCCUUGACAGCAUCAGGGACAUUCAGACUACAAUUUACAGUUCCUCCAUCCAUACACUGUGUUAUAAAUUAUGCCAUCCUCCCUAGAAUGAGAAUGCACAGCAUCAGACAAUCAAACAGCAUUCAGCAUCUCUUCUUUCUUUCCAUGCGUUCCCUGGCUCUGUUUUUCCUCCUGGCUCUGCCUUGUCAGGCGGACCCAUCAGAUACCUUAUUUAUCCAUCUUCAGCACCACUCUGAGGUAAAGUGCCACCACCGCAUCUCUGCAUGGUUUUCCCCAGACUAAUCCCUUUGAACAGCACAGGCUGAGAGAGUAUUGCUGGUGCCCUUGUCGUGAAGUGGAUUAGUUGGCAUUGGCACAGUAUAACAUAUCUAAGCUUCCCUUUGCCCAUCCCUUCGCUUUCUACCCAACCAACCCUAUAUCUUCUGCAGCUUCACCCAGGUCCAUGGACCCUUCUCUCCCAGCAACAACAGGAGACGGUGGCCAGGGUUCCGUGGGCAGCUCCUUCUUGAACGCUGUGCAGAUGGAUGACUCGUUUCGGAUGUGCCAGGAUGAAGCAGUGGCAGGGAAUCAGAAGCAGCAACAGUAGCAGCUCAGGUAACCAGGGGGAAGCUUGGCAUACCAACAGCAAUGCAGCACAGGAGCUUUGAGGGAAGAUAGUCUUGCUUCAAUAAAAAAACCCAAAACAAAAAAAAAAUACCCGAAAAACAAAACCAACACAGCUCAACGCCUGCGGGGGUGGAAAAACAGAAACAACCCAAAAAAAUUAAAAAGUUAAAAUGAAGAAAAAAUUGUAUAGAUCAGAAUACUUCGUGCAACUUUUAUUUCUGACAUUUCUAGUUUUAUUCCCCACCCCGCCCCCUCCAAAAUCUCUUCUGUUGCUGAACGCUACUGUCCAUGAGUGCCGAGUCACAAAGGCUCUGUCUCCAAAGCGCUGCGAACCUAGCAUCACAUGAGAAACCACAUGACGAACUGGAGUCGGCUGCUGAUGUGGUCAACUAUUUCACUAAAGGAGGGGGGAGAACAAAUAUGCUCAACUGAAAUGUGCCCUUCUCCCCUUUGGUAAUGAAGAGUUGUUGCCCUUGAACAGAC
This 4682-nucleotide long non-coding RNA is filed under the name Sarcophilus harrisii (Tasmanian devil). RNAcentral describes it as "lncRNA (ENSSHAG00000027744.1)". Lineage: Eukaryota; Metazoa; Chordata; Mammalia; Dasyuromorphia; Dasyuridae. The record is from RNAcentral.